This 29-nucleotide non-coding RNA is filed under the name Mus musculus (house mouse). The record is from RNAcentral. Lineage: Eukaryota; Metazoa; Chordata; Mammalia; Rodentia; Muridae.
UAGGAAGCAUAUUUCCGUUGGGAACCAAG